RNAcentral lists this ribosomal RNA (245 nucleotides) under uncultured bacterium. RNAcentral's name for it is "partial 16S ribosomal RNA". It matches the Rfam family "Bacterial small subunit ribosomal RNA", at positions 524 to 768 of the family's 1533-position model. The record is from RNAcentral.
AACGUAGGAGGCGAGCGUUAUCCGGAUUUACUGGGCGUAAAGCGCGUGCAGGCGGAUUGGAAAGUUGGAUGUGAAAGCUCCCGGCUCAACUGGGAGAGGUCGUUCAAAACUACCAGUCUAGAGGGCGAUAGAGGGAAGUGGAAUUCCGGGUGUAGUGGUGAAAUGCGUAGAUAUCCGGAGGAACACCAGUGGCGAAAGCGGCUUUCUGGAUCGCACCUGACGCUCAGACGCGAAAGCUAGGGUAG